GAAGCCCGCCAGACUGCCGCUGGUGCAAGCCGCAAGGACGACGCGCAAGCGUCGGGUGGAAACACCGCACUGGAGGAACGUCCGGACUGCAUAGGGCAGCGUAGCAGCUAACGGCUGUCCACUGAAAUGCGUGCACGCAAGUGCGCGUUAUAAGGUGAGGAUCAGAGCAACAGAGACGAGCCGAUUAAGUUCGGGUGAAACGGGCAAUCUCUACGCGCAGCAAUACCAAGUAGGCCAGCGUUGAUGGGGCCCCCAGAGCUGGCGGGUAGGUAGCACCGAGCGGUUGGGUGACCAACCGCCCAGAUUAAUGGCAGUCACAGGGUGGGCAACCAUCCUGCACAGAAUCCGGCUUAUCGGUGGGCUUCACAC
Rhodoferax ferrireducens T118 is the source of this 369-nucleotide non-coding RNA. It matches the Rfam family "Bacterial RNase P class A". Rfam says of the family: Ribonuclease P (RNase P) is a ubiquitous endoribonuclease, found in archaea, bacteria and eukarya as well as chloroplasts and mitochondria. Its best characterised activity is the generation of mature 5'-ends of tRNAs by cleaving the 5'-leader elements of precursor-tRNAs. Cellular RNase Ps are ribonucleoproteins. Lineage: Bacteria; Pseudomonadati; Pseudomonadota; Betaproteobacteria; Burkholderiales; Comamonadaceae. The record is from Rfam.